AUGAUGGAGUAAUGGCACGUGGUGAGAUAAGAGUGUGAGUGUGUAAAUAAAAAACCAAAAAAAAAGUGGCAU
This 72-nucleotide small RNA is filed under the name Arabidopsis thaliana (thale cress). RNAcentral describes it as "ATSL068680". The record is from RNAcentral. Lineage: Eukaryota; Viridiplantae; Streptophyta; Magnoliopsida; Brassicales; Brassicaceae.